GUGACUGCGUACCUUUUGUAUAAUGGGUCAGCGACUUAUAUUCUGUAGCAAGGUUAACCGUAUAGGGGAGCCGGAGGGAAACCGAGUCUUAAUUGGGCGUUAAGUUGCAGGGUAUAGACCCGAAACCCGGUGAUCUAGCCAUGGGCAGGUUGAAGGUUGGGUAACACUAACUGGAGGACCGAACCGACUAAUGUUGAAAAAUUAGCGGAUGACCUGUGGCUGGGGGUGAAAGGCCAAUCAAACCGGGAGAUAGCUGGUUCUCCCCGAAAGCUAUUUAGGUAGCGCCUCGUGAAUUCAUCUCCGGGGGUAGAGCACUGUUUCGGCUAGGGGGCCAUCCCGGCUUACCAACCCGAUGCAAACUGCGAAUACCGGAGAAUGUUAUCACGGGAGACACACGGCGGGUGCUAACGUCCGUCGUGAAGAGGGAAACAACCCAGACCGCCAGCUAAGGUCCCAAAGUCAUGGUUAAGUGGGAAACGAUGUGGGAAGGCCCAGACAGCCAGGAUGUUGGCUUAGAAGCAGCCAUCAUUUAAAGAAAGCGUAAUAGCUCACUGGUCGAGUCGGCCUGCGCGGAAGAUGUAACGGGGCUAAACCAUGCACCGAAGCUGCGGCAGCGAACGUAUCACCCAAGACAACUUUACGGAGUUGACGAUUGACGGAGCGAAGCGACGUCAAAGCGUUCAUUAAAGUCGAGUUGGCUUAGGGAUACGUUCGUUGGGUAGGGGAGCGUUCUGUAAGCCUGUGAAGGUGUGUCGUGAGGCAUGCUGGAGGUAUCAGAAGUGCGAAUGCUGACAU
RNAcentral lists this ribosomal RNA (795 nucleotides) under Salmonella enterica subsp. enterica serovar Typhimurium str. STm5. RNAcentral's name for it is "bacterial LSU rRNA". It matches the Rfam family "Bacterial large subunit ribosomal RNA", at positions 593 to 1303 of the family's 2925-position model. Lineage: Bacteria; Pseudomonadati; Pseudomonadota; Gammaproteobacteria; Enterobacterales; Enterobacteriaceae. The record is from RNAcentral.